CGGCUGAACAGCAACUGGAGGAAUGAAAGGCAAUAGCCGAUUGCAUUAAAUUUAAAAGAGUGGUCCCUUUUAAUUUAUAAUGUAGUUACUACUUGGUAGUUUAAAAUUCUAGGUAGAAUUAUGAUGAUGACAUUAUCUAUCUAUAAGUCUUGACCAAAAUACGUGCCAGCAGUCGCGGUAAUACGUAGAAGACAAGUGUUAUUCAUCUUUAUUAGGUUUAAAGAGUACCAAGACGGUUAAUAAAGCCCAAAAUAAUGAACAAAGGGGACACAUUAACUAGAGUUAUAUGAAAGGAAGCUCUAAGGUACUGUUGAGUGUAGAGAUAAAAUUCAGUCAUACCAGAUAAGCGGCACAGAUUAAUGCGAAGGCAUCUUCUUAUGUAAUAACUGACGUUGUAGGACGAAGGCUUUUGAAGUGAAGAGGAUUAGAUACCCUUGUAAUUUAAGCAGAAAAUGAUGAGUGUCAUAGGUUUAAUAGAAAUAAAGACAGGUCGGUCUAUUAUAUUAUUGAGUCUAUAAAUGAAAGUGUAAGCAUUCCACCUCAAGAGUAAUUUGGCAACAUUGGAACUGAAAUCAUUAGACCGUUUCUGAGACCAGUAGUGAAGUAUGUUGUUUAAUUAGAUGAUACACAAAAAACCUUACCACAAUUUGAAUAUAUAUCUUUAAAGAUAUUUACAAGCGUUGCACGGCUGUCUUCAGUUAAUGUCGUGAGAUUUUGGUUAGUUCCAUAAAAUUAACGUAAACCCUCGUUUUAUUUAUAAAUAAAAUUUAGAUCUGUUUCAAUGGAUUUGAGAUAAGAAAGGGACUAUGACAGUCUC
RNAcentral lists this ribosomal RNA (817 nucleotides) under Lobaria hallii. RNAcentral describes it as "SSU rRNA". It matches the Rfam family "Bacterial small subunit ribosomal RNA", at positions 1 to 1193 of the family's 1533-position model. The record is from RNAcentral. Lineage: Eukaryota; Fungi; Ascomycota; Lecanoromycetes; Peltigerales; Lobariaceae.